CUCUCCUCCUCCCGCCCCCGCGGCCGGGCGCCGUCCCCAGCCCCGGGCACGGCCUCCGCGGGGGGACAGGGGGGAGCUGCGCGGCCCCGGGGGCUUUCGGAGGCAGAGCCCAGGAGCGCAGAGCGCGGCGGAGGACGCGGGCAGGGCGGCGGCGAGGAGAGUACAAGAACGGCAGUGGAAACAGUCAUCCAAUACCAAGCUGAAAGCUGAGAGAAUGUGCUGGUGAAACAGGCAGUGACAGUGGAGUCAACAAAAAAAGACAAGAUCCAACAGCAGUAUGAAGUGACCGGAUGACACAAAAAGCCACACUUUGCAUGACAGCAAACAGCCAAUGGCCCAAGUCUCCAAAUGCUGUGGAGUUUGUGAGCAUGCUCAGUUAAAACACUGCUAGGCAUCCUCAAAGUAGUCUCAAGUAUGACAGCUUACCAUAAAGCAGGAACUACCAUUUAAGUUAUCAUUAAGUUAUCAUAAUUCAAAGCACAAGAAGUUCCUAAAUAAUAGUAAAGAAGCUUAUUUGUUUUUAAGAUAGAACAUAACUUCACUAGCCUACAUGUUUUAGCCUGCUUUGAUCAUCACAGGCUGCUCAGUGAAAACUGCAGGAAGGUUAAGUCCAAGGAGCACACAGGGAUCCUAAGCACACACGGUGCACAAGAAAGUUGAUGUAGCGUGAACUGCAGAGCUGUCAUUUAGAAGCUGUUUAGUAAAGCAGGAAUUGUACUUACUAUCAAAAUACACAAAAACAGUUCAAGAUAUUAUUUAGUAGACAUUUGCAGAAGCAAUAUAAGCCAUACAGAUAAUCCGUGUACUGUAGUAACACAAGCUAAAGAACAGGCACAAAUUCUCUGGUGCAUUAACAGCAAAACAGUUGUUGGCUAGAAGUUACUAAUCUUAGUUAAGAAUAUCUUGCUGGGUUACAGAACAGAUUCAUGAAUUCCUACAAGCAUUAGUUCUACAGCUGCUUCUGACAAACUCUCUGCAAACUACAUGUCAAGUAGAUUGCUGAGGGAAAGAAAGGGAAAAGGCAGUGGCAAGGUCACCUCAGUUUGGCUGCUGUUACCUGUCUUCAAGCAAACGUGGACCAAGAGAUGACUCCAUGAAGAUGGAAUCUUCUACAAAGCUGACGGCGUGCACCUGAUGCAUAAUACUGCUCUCCUCGUCUGCUAACAGCAUGGCACCCAACUCAUCUAUGUGGGGUCUUAACCUUUUCACACACAUGCACAGUUUGCAGUUCACAGCAUGGCUCAACAAUAGUAAGUAUCUCAAAUAAGAGCAAAUGUCAAAGCCCAAAGAAUUUAUCAUUUUUACCCAUCUAACUUCUGAUUCUUGUGCAGUUGUUAAAAACUUACUGCUUGGGAGAAAACAGAAAUAAAUAAGUGGAGUUUGUA
This is a long non-coding RNA of Gallus gallus (chicken), 1385 nucleotides long. RefSeq lists it as uncharacterized. The record is from RefSeq and is a predicted model, not a curated record. The transcript is spliced from 2 exons. Lineage: Eukaryota; Metazoa; Chordata; Aves; Galliformes; Phasianidae.